RNAcentral lists this ribosomal RNA (517 nucleotides) under uncultured bacterium. Its description in RNAcentral is "bacterial SSU rRNA". It matches the Rfam family "Bacterial small subunit ribosomal RNA", at positions 15 to 518 of the family's 1533-position model. The record is from RNAcentral.
GAUUAUGGCUCAGAUUGAACGCUGGCGGCGUGCUAACACAUGCAAGUCGCGCGUGAAAGGACUUCGGUCCGAGUAAAGCGGCGCACGGGUGAGUAACGCGUGGAUGAUCUACCCAUGAGUUAGGAAUAACGGCUGGAAACGGUCGCUAAUACCAAAUACACUCCGAUUUCAACUUCGGGGGAAAGGUGGCCUCUGCUUGCAAGCUACUGCUCAUGGAUGAGUCCGCGUCCCAUUAGCUAGUUGGUGGGGUAACGGCCCACCAAGGCGACGAUGGGUAGCCGGUCUGAGAGGAUGACCGGCCACACUGGGACUGGAAUACGGCCCAGACUCCUACGGGAGGCAGCAGUGGGGAAUAUUGCGCAAUGGGCGAAAGCCUGACGCAGCGACGCCGCGUGAGGGAUGAAGGUCCUCGGAUCGUAAACCUCUGUCAGGAGGGAAGAACCGCCACGGUGCUAAUCAGCCGUGGUCUGACGGUACCUCCAAAGGAAGCACCGGCUAACUCCGUGCCAGCCGCUGC